This 389-nucleotide ribosomal RNA is filed under the name uncultured bacterium. RNAcentral describes it as "bacterial SSU rRNA". It matches the Rfam family "Bacterial small subunit ribosomal RNA", at positions 29 to 417 of the family's 1533-position model. The record is from RNAcentral.
AUUGAACGCUGGCGGCAUGCUUUACACAUGCAAGUCGAGCGGCAGCGCGGGGGCAACCCUGGCGGCGAGCGGCGAACGGGUGAGUAAUGCAUCGGAACGUAUCCUGUAGUGGGGAAUAACUCACCGAAAGGUGAGCUAAUACCGCAUAAGCUCUGAGGAGGAAAGCGGGGGGACCGAAAGGCCUCGCGCUGCAGGAGCGGCCGAUGUCCGAUUAGCUAGUUGGUGAGGUAAAAGGCUCACCAAGGCGACGAUCGGUAGCUGGUCUGAGAGGAUGAUCAGCCACACUGGGACUGAGACACGGCCCAGACUCCUACGGGAGGCAGCAGUGGGGAAUUUUGGACAAUGGGGGAAACCCUGAUCCAGCCAUGCCGCGUGAGUGAAGAAGGCCU